This 459-nucleotide ribosomal RNA is filed under the name uncultured bacterium. Its description in RNAcentral is "partial 16S ribosomal RNA". It matches the Rfam family "Bacterial small subunit ribosomal RNA", at positions 338 to 795 of the family's 1533-position model. The record is from RNAcentral.
CCUACGGGAGGCAGCAGUGAGGAAUAUUGGUCAAUGGUCGGGAGACUGAACCAGCCAAGCCGCGUGAGGGAGGAAGGUACAGAGUAUCGUAAACCUCUUUUGUCAGGGAACAAAGACUGGGACGCGUCCCCGGAUGAGUGUACCUGAAGAAAAAGCAUCGGCUAACUCCGUGCCAGCAGCCGCGGUAAUACGGAGGAUGCGAGCGUUAUCCGGAUUUAUUGGGUUUAAAGGGUGCGCAGGCGGUCUGUUAAGUCAGCGGUCAAAGCCCGGGGCUCAACCCCGGCCCGCCGUUGAAACUGGCAGUCUUGAGUUGGAGGGAGGCAUGCGGAAUGCGCGGUGUAGCGGUGAAAUGCAUAGAUAUCGCGCAGAACUCCGAUUGCGAAGGCAGCAUGCAGGCUCAACACUGACGCUGAGGCACGAAAGCGUGGGUAUCGAACAGGAUUAGAUACCCCUGUAGUC